Long non-coding RNA from Vicia villosa (hairy vetch), 341 nucleotides. RefSeq lists it as uncharacterized. The transcript is spliced from 2 exons. The record is from RefSeq and is a predicted model, not a curated record. NCBI's taxonomy places the organism in Eukaryota, Viridiplantae, Streptophyta, Magnoliopsida, Fabales, Fabaceae.
UUAGAAGGUUAAUUAUAAUUAGAGUUUAGAAGAUGCAUAUCAUCUCUUUCUCCUCCUUUCGCAAUUUCCUCAUCAUGCUUGCGUUAAUUUUCAGUGUUAUUUUCUUAUUGCACUCAACUGGGGUUAAUGCAGAUGCCGAGAUAGAGAUUAUGAAAAAAUUGGGUCUCAUAGAAAGACAGAGAGAUUUGCCACCUCCUCCACCAGAAUUUGCUGAUUCACCACAACCAGCACUAUAGAAAUUCUAUAAUAUGGGACUGUUUGAUGAACAAAAUAAAGGAGUUGAAUAAAUUGUACUUAAGAAAAAAAUUAUAAGGUGUUCUAUAUAUGUCUCUUUAAGCUCC